UACGUAGGGUGCGAGCGUUAAUCGGAAUUACUGGGCGUAAAGCGUGCGCAGGCGGUUUUGUAAGCCAGAUGUGAAAUCCCCGGGCUUAACCUGGGAAUGGCAUUUGGGACUGCAAGGCUUGAGUUUGGCAGAGGAGACUGGAAUUCCUGGUGUAGCAGUGAAAUGCGUAGAUAUCAGGAGGAAUACCGAUGGCGAAGGCAGGUCUCGUGGGACUAGAA
This 218-nucleotide ribosomal RNA is filed under the name uncultured bacterium. Its description in RNAcentral is "partial 16S ribosomal RNA". It matches the Rfam family "Bacterial small subunit ribosomal RNA", at positions 524 to 739 of the family's 1533-position model. The record is from RNAcentral.